Molecule: ribosomal RNA, 300 nt
Filed under: uncultured bacterium
Lineage: Bacteria
Description: bacterial SSU rRNA
Rfam family: Bacterial small subunit ribosomal RNA
Source: RNAcentral
GCUAACUCCGUGUCAGGGGCCGGGGUAAUACGGAGGGUGCAAGCGUUAUCCGGAUUUAUUGGGUUUAAAGGGUCCGUAGGCGGAUCUAUAAGUCAGUGGUGAAAUCUCACAGCUUAACUGUGAAACUGCCGUUGAUACUGUAGGUCUUGAGUAAAUUUGAAGUGGCUGGAAUAAGUAGUGUAGCGGUGAAAUGCAUAGAUAUUACUUAGAACACCAAUUGCGAAGGCAGGUCACUAAGAUUUAACUGACGCUGAGGGACGAAAGCGUGGGGAGCGAACAGGAUUAGAUACCCUGGUAGUC